GUGAUGUUGUGCUGAACAGCACACAUUUGAAUAGCUUACUGAGUAGCUGAAAAGGGCAAUGACCUUGACCCACUUUGUGAUUUCAGGUGCUUUUAAGAAGAACCCCAUGCCAAGUGGAGGACGGUGUGAGAAAUGCAGAAUGUGAUGGGGUAACUUGGGUGGGUAUCAGCUUCCCAUCAGCUGACCAGUUCCCCAUCAUCCCUCUCUGGGCAGCACAGGGUCACUGGGCUCCAUCUCCAGCUCAGGGAAAGUUCAGUGCAGCUGUGCCGGCUGUUGUUGGAAAUUUCAUAAUGUAAAGUGGAAAUUGGGCACAGGCCUCCAGGUGCUGUGAUGUGCCUGCUCCCAUUUGCCUUCCACCAUGACUGGAAGCUCCCUGAGGCCUCCUCCAAAGCAGAAGCUGCCAUGCUUCCUGUACAGCCUGCAGAACCGUGAGCCAAUUCAACCUCUUUUCUUUAUACAUUACUCAGUCUCAAGUAUUUCUUUAUAGCAGUGUGCAAAUGGACUAAAACAGCAUCUCAGAGAUCCCAGCCAAUCCCAGGAGCUCCAGUGCCCCAUCUCUCCAGGUGUCCCAGGCUGUAGGGACCAGCCUGAAGCCUUCCCUGACCCAGGCCUAGGCCCUACAAGAGGCCUGUGACAAGAGACCUCCUUAGCCUCUUCAGCUUCCAUUGGAAUCAACUUAGCUGCCAGGAGGCUGGAACUUUCCCCCACUCUGUUAGUUACUUGAAGGAAAGCCACCAACAUAGACAAUGGCUGCACAACACUGGAAUGGAGAAGGUUUACCAUAAUUUAUACAACAACCAUUCCCCUACUUUUUGUUUUUUGACUUUUCACUAUGAAUAUCCUCAUGAUAAAUAUCAUGGGCUCAUGGUAGCUUUCCCUUAAGAUAGACUCCCCAAAGUGAAAAAAAAUUGGUCAAAGAAUAUAAGAAUCUUUAUGACUCUUGCCAAAUUCCUUCUCAAGUAUUUGCACCACUGUAAAAUGUCACCAUCAACAUGUGAGAGCACCAGUUUCACCCUGACUCUGCUAGUGUUAUUAUUUGUUGAUUAUUUUUCCAACUUAGUAGUUAAAAAUAUACAGUCUGCCCUCUGUUUCCAGGGGUUGCACAUCCAUAGAUUCAACCAGCCAGAGACUGAAAAUAUUUGGGAAAAGAACCAUAAAAAAUAACAAUAUGUCCAUAAAAAUAAUACAAAAUUUAAAAACAAUCUAGCAUAACAACUAUUUAAAUAGCAUUUAUAUUGUAUUAGGUAUUAUAAGUUAUCUGGGUGACUUAAAGUAUAUGGGAAGAUGUGCAAAUACAGUGUCACUUUAUGUAAAAGACUUGAGCAUCCUCGAAUUUUGGUUUCUCUGAGGGGUCCUGGAACCAAUCCGCCACGGCUACCAUGGGAUGAAUGUACUCCCUCAUCAAUGUUUCAAGUUGCAUUUCUUGGAUUACUAGUGAGACUGAACAUUUUCCCAUGUCUGUUUAUUGACUAUAUUUUCCCUUUCCUAAAGUAUCAGUUUCCAUCCUUUGCCCACACAUCUGUGGGGAGUUCACUGGGUUUUGUAGAUAUAUCUGAGGUUACUGCUUUGUGAUAUUUGCUCAGCAUGUAUUAUCACUCCACUUGGAUAUCUAAUGGGCCAUUUAAAUUUAAGAUGUCAAAAUGUAACCCCAGGUUUUCCUCCCUAAACCUGCUGUCCUUUCUCUGGUCUUCCCUGUCUUAAUAAAUGGCACUAUAAUCCACCUUUGCCCAAAACCCAGGAGCCCUUCAUGAUCCCUCCUUUUCCAUACUCCAUAUAUCCCAUCUCCCAGCCAGUCUCCCCCAUCCACCCUUCUCUGAUCACCCAAUUCAUGCCAGGUCACCAUUCAUCACAUAGCCUCCUUUCUUCUUUGCAGUACCUGCUAGGAUCAGAAACUCUCUUUCCUUCCUUCUUUCCUUCCUUCCUUCUUCUCUCCCUCCC
This 1938-nucleotide long non-coding RNA is filed under the name Homo sapiens (human). Its description in RNAcentral is "HSALNT0023145". The record is from RNAcentral. Lineage: Eukaryota; Metazoa; Chordata; Mammalia; Primates; Hominidae.